GUCGUUGUAGUACAGUGGUGAGUAUUCCUGCCUGUUACGCGGGUGACCCAGUUUCGAUCACGGCAACGGCG
Molecule: transfer RNA, 71 nt
Filed under: Amborella trichopoda
Lineage: Eukaryota; Viridiplantae; Streptophyta; Magnoliopsida; Amborellales; Amborellaceae
Rfam family: tRNA
About the family: Transfer RNA (tRNA) molecules are approximately 80 nucleotides in length. Their secondary structure includes four short double-helical elements and three loops (D, anti-codon, and T loops).
Source: Rfam by way of RNAcentral